Long non-coding RNA from Osmerus eperlanus (European smelt), 580 nucleotides. RefSeq lists it as uncharacterized. The transcript has 3 exons. NCBI's taxonomy places the organism in Eukaryota, Metazoa, Chordata, Actinopteri, Osmeriformes, Osmeridae. The record is from RefSeq and is a predicted model, not a curated record.
UUCAUGGUUCCAGGCUGUCUCUUCGUAUGGGCGAACAAACAAGUGUCAGAUUACUGCCAGAGCCCGAGUCGUGUCAAUUUCUGAUUUUGCAGCAUUUUAUUCUCACUUGAGUCGUGUGGUGUCCAAGCUAUCUGAAACGCACGCUCCCUCCCUCUCUCUCGCUCGCUCGCAGACACACCCCAACUCGCCCACCGCCGGUCAGACGCCCUGGAGAUAGGAAUUGGCGGAGGACAGCGACACGCGCGUACAAGGGGUGCAACCGAGGACCGAUCAACAAAGCAGACAGGGCGCCAUUAGACAGACCGCUCAAUUACGUUUGUUUUGUGGUACUAUAAAGAAGUCGGCUACAUUUCAGUCUUCCUUCUACCAGACUGAUACCGAUGCCUAUGGAACAGGUCAUGCAACAAGCCGGCCUCAUGAUUGGAGAACCACCACCUGGGCCCAGCCUAUAAAUCCAAAGCCAUGGAUUCCUGUUCUUUCCGUGUCCUUCACGUGUCAUUGAGGUGGUUGUGCUGGGCGAGGACAUGUCAGCGGUGCCCCUAAUGGAGCAGGAGCUCUGCCAGGGUCCGUGGUGGGAUCU